This 400-nucleotide ribosomal RNA is filed under the name uncultured bacterium. RNAcentral describes it as "bacterial SSU rRNA". It matches the Rfam family "Bacterial small subunit ribosomal RNA", at positions 28 to 416 of the family's 1533-position model. The record is from RNAcentral.
GACGAACGCUGGCGGCAUGCCUAAUACAUGCAAGUCGAGCGAACAGAUGAAGUGCUUGCACUUCUGACGUUAGCGACGAACGGGUGAGUAACACGUAAGGAAUCUACCUAUAAGCGGGGGAUAACAUUCGGAAACGGGUGCUAAUACCGCAUAAUAUCUUCUUCCGCAUGGAAGAAGAUUGAAAGACGGCUCUGCUGUCACUUAUAGAUGACCUUGCGGUGCAUUAGUUAGUUGGUGGGGUAAUGGCCUACCAAGACGAUGAUGCAUAGCCGACCUGAGAGGGUGAUCGGCCACAUUGGGACUGAGACACGGCCCAAACUCCUACGGGAGGCAGCAGUAGGGAAUCUUCCGCAAAUGGGCGAAAGCCUGACGGAGCAAUGCCGCGUGAGUGAAGAAGGCC